CCAGACUCCUACGGGAGGCAGCAGUAGGGAAUCUUCGGCAAUGGACGAAAGUCUGACCGAGCAACGCCGCGUGAGUGAAGAAGGUUUUCGGAUCGUAAGACUCUGUUGGUAGAGAAGAACGUUGGUGAGAGUGGAAAGCUCAUCAAGUGACGGUAACUACCCAGAAAGGGACGGCUAACUACGUGCCAGCAGCCGCGGUAAUACGUAGGUCCCGAGCGUUGUCCGGAUUUAUUGGGCGUAAAGCGAGCGCAGGUGGUUUAUUAAGUCUGGUGUAAAAGGCAGUGGCUCAACCAUUGUAUGCAUUGGAAACUGGUAGACUUGAGUGCAGGAGAGGAGAGUGGAAUUCCAUGUGUAGCGGUGAAGUGCGUAGAUAUAUGGAGGAACACCGGUGGCGAAAGCGGCUCUCUGGCCUGUAACUGACACUGAGGCUCGAAAGCGUGGGGAGCAAACAGGAUUAGAUACCCUGGUGGUCCACGCCGUAAACGAUGAGUGCUAGAUGUAUGGAGCUAUAAGUUCUCUG
RNAcentral lists this ribosomal RNA (520 nucleotides) under uncultured bacterium. RNAcentral's name for it is "bacterial SSU rRNA". It matches the Rfam family "Bacterial small subunit ribosomal RNA", at positions 331 to 843 of the family's 1533-position model. The record is from RNAcentral.